CUACGCAUAGCGGAUGUGAACUACGGAUGAUCAACUGAAUGACCCUGAACACCUACCUACGUCAGUCAUAACCCCACCGUGUCCUCGAUCGGAGAAAGAACUCACGAAAGAGACAGUCACGGUUACGCACACAGUUGGCAUAUUAUAAUUAAGUUAACUUCAAGUUAUCUAGAACCAGUGUUAAACAAAGUAUCCACGUA
Molecule: long non-coding RNA, 200 nt
Filed under: Hordeum vulgare
Lineage: Eukaryota; Viridiplantae; Streptophyta; Magnoliopsida; Poales; Poaceae
Description: long non-coding RNA (HVUL_LNC002214)
Source: RNAcentral